This 2329-nucleotide long non-coding RNA is filed under the name Sinocyclocheilus grahami. RNAcentral describes it as "lncRNA (ENSSGRG00000023551.1)". Lineage: Eukaryota; Metazoa; Chordata; Actinopteri; Cypriniformes; Cyprinidae. The record is from RNAcentral.
GACCGCCCCGCUCCUUCCCCCGGAGGAGGGCCGGGUGGAGAAUCCUAUGUUCCAGUUUGUUUUUGUUCUGCCACUGGCUACCCAGCCAGUGGUACCCAAAACUUCACUAAAAGAGCAGUUUCCUUUGCCUCCGGGUCCCAAGAGGGCGAGGACGGCGGUGCACGAGACCCAGUCUCCACACAGCCGACCCCCUCUCCCUUCGCUAGUGGGCAGCAGGGUUCAGUUCAAGGACGCUACGCCUCCUCACGAGCCCCCUGCCCACCAGUGGAGCCAGGUAAGUCGCGCGCUGCGCACUCAGACCCCACCCUGGGACGCGCGGCCUCCCGGGUUGGGUCCCUGUGUUCCACUUCGCUGCCCCACUGCGGGUACGUCGGUGGUCGCCCUGGUCCCGCUAGUUCGGUCGCUGGGGGCCUGGUUAGCGCUCCCCAGGCCGUCUCGCUGGCUCCUGAGAACCAUCAGACUCGGCUACGCGAUUCAAUUCGCCCGGCGCCCUCCCAAGUUCAGGGGCAUUCGGUUCACCUCUGUGCCGGACAAGGAUGCUCCUGUCUUGCGUACAGAGAUCGCGGUCCUGCUAGCGAAGGACGCGAUACAGCCGGUCCCUCCAGCCGAGAUGAGGUCGGGCUUCUACAGCCCAUACUUCAUCGUACCCAAGAAAGGCGGUGGGUUACGACCGAUCCUGGACCUGCGCGUACUGAACCGGACCCUUCACAAGCUCCCGUUCAGGAUGUUGACACAGAAACGCAUCUUUCAAUGCGUCCGUCCUUUCGAUUGGUUUGCAGCGGUCGACCUCAAGGACGCGUACUUUCAUGUCUCGAUUCUCCCUCGACACAGACCGUUUCUCCGCUUUGCGUUCGAAGGGCGAGCAUAUCAGUACAAGGUCCUCCCCUUCGGGCUAUCCCUGUCGCCUCGUGUCUUCACCAAGGUCGUGGAGGCAGCCCUCGUUCCAUUGAGGGAAGCGGGCAUUCGCGUUCUCAACUACCUCGACGACUGGCUCAUACUGGCCCAGUCCCGAGCACAGUUGUGCGAACACAGGGAUAUGGUGCUCAGUCACCUCAGCCGAUUGGGGCUUCGGGUCAACUGGGAAAAGAGCAAACUCUCUCCGGUGCAGAGGAUCUCUUUUCUCGGCAUGGAGCUGGACUCGGUCAACCUCUCGGCACGUCUCUCAGUAGAGCGUGCGCAGUCGAUGCUGAACUGCCUGGGGUCCUUCCAGUGCAAGACGGCGGUUCCACUGAAACAAUUUCAGAGGCUCCUGGGGCAUAUGGCAUCCGCAGCCGCUGUCACGCCGCUCGGGUUGCUUCAUAUGAGACCGCUUCAGCGUUGGCUUCACGACCGGGUCCCGAGAUGGGCAUGGCGACACGGCACUUACCGGGUUUCUGUUACCCCGUUCUGCCGUCAGACCCUCAGCCCAUGGACAGAUCUUGCCUUUCUUCGGACAGGAGUAUCCCUUGGGCAAGUAUCCAGGCAUGUUGUUGUGUCAACAGAUGCCUCCGCCAGGGGCUGGGGUGCCAUGUGCAGUGGGAAUGCAGCUGCGGGGCUCUGGUCGGGGCCCCGACUACAGUGGCAUAUCAACUGCCUCGAGUUGCAAGCAGUAUGGCUGGCUCUGCGCCGCUUCAAAUCGCUGCUACACGACAAGCACGUACUGGUCCGUACGGACAACACUGCGACCGUUGCGUACAUCAACCACCAGGGCGGUCUACGCUCCCGUCGCAUGUCGCAACUCGCCCGCCAUCUCCUCCUCUGGAGUCAGAAGCAUCUGAGGUCGCUUCGCGCCGUUCACAUCCCAGGCGAGCUCAAUCGUGCAGCCGACGAGCUCUCACGUCAGCCCGCCCCUCCGGGAGAAUGGCGACUCCACCCCGAGACAGUCCAGCUGAUUUGGAGACGCUUUGGGGACGCUCAGGUAGACCUGUUUGCCUCCCCGGACACGUCCCAUUGCCAGUGGUUUUACUCCCUGGCCGAGGGACCCCUCGGCACGGACGCACUGGCGUGCAGCUGGCCUCGGGGCCUACGCAAAUAUGCGUUUCCCCCAGUGAGCCUUCUCGCACAGACACUGUGCAAGGUCAGGGAGGACGAGGAGCAGGUCCUCUUGGUGGCGCCAUACUGGCCCAGUCGGACUUGGUUCCCCGAACUGAUGCUCCUCGCGACAGCCCCUCCUUGGCGAAUUCCUCUGAGGAGGGAUCUCCUUUCUCAGAGAGGGGGCACCCUCUGGCACCCGCGUCCAGACUUGUGGAAUCUCCACUUAUGGUCCCUGGACGGGACGCGGAGGUUCUAGGUGGGCUACCUCCAGCGGUAGUAAACACCAUCGCUUCAGCUAGAGCCCCGUCUACCAGAC